This 449-nucleotide ribosomal RNA is filed under the name uncultured bacterium. RNAcentral's name for it is "partial 16S ribosomal RNA". It matches the Rfam family "Bacterial small subunit ribosomal RNA", at positions 29 to 523 of the family's 1533-position model. The record is from RNAcentral.
AGCGAACGCUGGCGGCAGGCCUAACACAUGCAAGUCGAACGGAUCCUUCGGGAUUAGUGGCGGACGGGUGAGUAACACGUGGGAACGUGCCCUUUGGUUCGGAACAACUCAGGGAAACUUGAGCUAAUACCGGAUGUGCCCUUCGGGGGAAAGAUUUAUCGCCAUUGGAGCGGCCCGCGUAGGAUUAGCUAGUUGGUGGGGUAAAGGCCCACCAAGGCUACGAUCCUUAGCUGGUCUGAGAGGAUGAUCAGCCACAUUGGGACUGAGACACGGCCCAAACUCCUACGGGAGGCAGCAGUGGGGAAUCUUGCGCAAUGGGCGAAAGCCUGACGCAGCCAUGCCGCGUGAAUGAUGAAGGUCUUAGGAUUGUAAAAUUCUUUCACCGGGGACGAUAAUGACGGUACCCGGAGAAGAAGCCCCGGCUAACUUCGUGCCAGCCGCCGCGGUAA